This 442-nucleotide ribosomal RNA is filed under the name uncultured bacterium. RNAcentral describes it as "partial 16S ribosomal RNA". It matches the Rfam family "Bacterial small subunit ribosomal RNA", at positions 338 to 795 of the family's 1533-position model. The record is from RNAcentral.
CCUACGGGAGGCAGCAGUGGGGGAUAUUGCACAAUGGGGGAAACCCUGAUGCAGCGACGCCGCGUGAGGGAAGACGGACUUCGGGUUGUAAACCUCUGUCGCAGGGGACGAAGGAGAUGACGGUACCCUGUGAGGAAGCCACGGCAAACUACGUGCCAGCAGCCGCGGUACUACGUGGGUGGCGGGCGUUGCCCGGAAUUACGGGGGGUAAGGGGAGAGAAGGCGGGGUAUUAAGUUGAAUGUAAAAACUACCGGCUUAACCGAUAGAAGCGUUUAAAACUGAUAUUCUUGAGUGAAGUAGAGGCAGGCGGAAUUCCUAGUGUAGCGGUGAAAUGCGUAGAUAUUAGGAGGAACACCAGUGGCGAAGGCGGCCUGCUGGGCUUUAACUGACGCUGAGGCUCGAAAGCGUGGGUAGCAAACAGGAUUAGAUACCCCAGUAGUC